UAGGUUUGCAAAGGGAUAGGGCUCUCAGAGGAUCCUGUGGAAUGGAGGGAAGAGACUGGACAGCAGGAGGAAAAUGAGCCAGAAAGAGAGUGAGGCUUUCCAGCAGCCAUGGGGAUAAAAGCAUGAACGUGUGGUUGACUGAACGGUCUUUAAAUGUGGAAGAGAGAAGGAGAGGAGUCAGUAUCAGAGUUAGACAACACAAAAAGACUUGACUGGCCAUUGCUGGCUUUGAAGAUUAAAGAGAGCUAUGAACCAAGAAAGAAAAGAUUAUAUUAGGAGUUCUGGAGAAGGAAAGAAGAGGAGGGCGUCAAGUAAAGAGAACAAGAUAGAAUUAGAAGUUUGAAGACAGAACAAGAUAGAAGUUUGUCCCAAUAUGACCAGAUAGAUUAUAGAAGUUUGUUGAUUUCAUGACCAAUGGGGACACAGUAGAGCCUACCCUGCACCUAUGGAAGAUGGCAAGGCCACAAGGUAAAAGACUUCAUGAUAUAUGUGUUAAAACCUGACUGUCCACUUUACCUGGCAGAGAGAUAAACAGAAGUAGAGAUCUACAUUGAUUCACCGAUAAGUGGCUAUUUGGACAAGGAGGCUAGAAAAAAUAAGUCAGAGGCUUGAAGAAAACAGGACUGGUAGACUGGUUAAAAGGAGAUCUGAAGAAGAGUUAUAUGGAUGGGCUUCUCAGAGAGGGGAGAGUGAGGAUAUUGUGUCCCAUAUAAAUGCUUAAUAAAAGACAUCCACUGACAAAAGAUUUUCAAUAAUCAAGUAAACAAUGUGACAAAUCCUGUGGAUAUCAGUUAGCUGUCUUUCCCAGCCACCCUGGUGCUUGUAUAAUGGGCUCAGGAAUAUAAUGGUCCUGGCAACAGUGUGGGCU
Neofelis nebulosa (Clouded leopard) is the source of this 868-nucleotide long non-coding RNA. RefSeq lists it as uncharacterized. The record is from RefSeq and is a predicted model, not a curated record. Lineage: Eukaryota; Metazoa; Chordata; Mammalia; Carnivora; Felidae. The transcript is spliced from 3 exons.